RNAcentral lists this small RNA (568 nucleotides) under Pan troglodytes (chimpanzee). Its description in RNAcentral is "processed transcript". Lineage: Eukaryota; Metazoa; Chordata; Mammalia; Primates; Hominidae. The record is from RNAcentral.
AGAAUGUCACUGGUGCUUAGCACCUAUCCGCUCUCCAGACUGCGUCUGUGUUCUAUGGCAGUUACACACACGUAGUGGUGUUCACGAGCGGUUUUGUGGACUCAAAGGUUUUCUCCCUGAGAGGCAUAACCCAGGCCAGCUGAUUCAUCAGAAUCAGGUCCCGCCCCUCCUGGGAGUCAGUGCCACAGGAAGGCCCUUGUCCUCCCUUCCCUGUGCCUUCUCCCGGGCUGAGCCCUGAGCUGGAUAGAGACAGAGCCAGUCCUUUCUGGGGGUCGGCUCCCAGGCUUGGGCGGCUCAGGCCCUGUGCACGUCCUCAGCUCUGCCUGGGUUGCCUUACAGUGAGACGGAGCUGCCUCCUGUGACUGCACGGGAGGCGAAGAAAAUUCGGCGGGAGAUGACACGAACGAGCAAGUGGAUGGAAAUGCUGGGAGAAUGGGAGACAUAUAAGCACAGUAGCAAACUCAUAGAUCGAGUGUACAAGGGAAUUCCCAUGAACAUCCGGGGCCCGAUGUGGUCAGUCCUCCUGAACAUUCAGGAAAUCAAGUUGAAAAACCCCGGAAGAUACCAG